GAUGAACGCUGGCGGCGUGUCUAAUACAUGCAAGUCGAGCGAACAGACGAGGAGCUUGCUCCUCUGACGUUAGCGGCGGACGGGUGAGUAACACGUGGAUAACCUACCUAUAAGACUGGGAUAACUUCGGGAAACCGGAGCUAAUACCGGAUAAUAUAUUGAACCGCAUGGUUCAAUAGUGAAAGACGGUUUUGCUGUCACUUAUAGAUGGAUCCGCGCCGCAUUAGCUAGUUGGUAAGGUAACGGCUUACCAAGGCAACGAUGCGUAGCCGACCUGGGAGGGUGAUCGGCCACACUGGAACUGAGACACGGUCCAGACUCCUACGGGAGGCAGCAGUAGGGAAUCUUCCGCAAUGGGCGAAAGCCUGACGGAGCAACGCCGCGUGAGUGAUGAAGGUCUUCGGAUCGUAAAACUCUGUUAUUAGGGAAGAACAAAUGUGUAAGUAACUAUGCACGUCUUGACGGUACCUAAUCAGAAAGCCACGGCUAACUACGUG
This 497-nucleotide ribosomal RNA is filed under the name uncultured bacterium. RNAcentral's name for it is "partial 16S ribosomal RNA". It matches the Rfam family "Bacterial small subunit ribosomal RNA", at positions 28 to 507 of the family's 1533-position model. The record is from RNAcentral.